AGUGAACGCUGGCGGUAGGCCUAACACAUGCAAGUCGAACGGCAGCACAGUAAGAGCUUGCUCUUACGGGUGGCGAGUGGCGGACGGGUGAGGAAUACAUCGGAAUCUACUUUUUCGUGGGGGAUAACGUAGGGAAACUUACGCUAAUACCGCAUACGACCUACGGGUGAAAGCAGGGGAUCUUCGGACCUUGCGCGAUUGAACGAGCCGAUGUCGGAUUAGCUAGUUGGCGGGGUAAAGGCCCACCAAGGCGACGAUCCGUAGCUGGUCUGAGAGGAUGAUCAGCCACACUGGAACUGAAACACGGUCCAGACUCCUACGGGAGGCAGCAGUGGGGAAUAUUGGACAAUGGGCGCAAGCCUGAUCCAGCCAUACCGCGUGGGUGAAGAAGGCCUUCGGGUUGUAAAGCCCUUUUGUUGGGAAAGAAAAGCAGCAGGUUAAUACCCCGCUGUUCUGACGGUACCCAAAGAAUAAGCACCGGCUAACUUCGUG
This 492-nucleotide ribosomal RNA is filed under the name uncultured bacterium. Its description in RNAcentral is "partial 16S ribosomal RNA". It matches the Rfam family "Bacterial small subunit ribosomal RNA", at positions 29 to 507 of the family's 1533-position model. The record is from RNAcentral.